CAGGUAUAAAUUUGAAUGUCUAUUGCCGCCCCACCAGAACUCCGAAAGUGUAGAAUAAGGCAUGACUAAUUCACAUUAUACUUUUUGACCGUUCAAUGCUAAAAAAAUCUAGAUGUUCAACUAGAAUCCCAUCUACUUCUUUCUGACAUCUGAAUUGCAUUUCGUCUCUCAACUAUAAUGAUGGUACGGCAUAUCUAUCAAAAAGCAGC
This 209-nucleotide long non-coding RNA is filed under the name Elaeis guineensis (African oil palm). Its description in RNAcentral is "long non-coding RNA (EGUI_LNC023992)". Lineage: Eukaryota; Viridiplantae; Streptophyta; Magnoliopsida; Arecales; Arecaceae. The record is from RNAcentral.